Long non-coding RNA from Ornithorhynchus anatinus (platypus), 2017 nucleotides. RefSeq lists it as uncharacterized. The record is from RefSeq and is a predicted model, not a curated record. The transcript is spliced from 2 exons. Lineage: Eukaryota; Metazoa; Chordata; Mammalia; Monotremata; Ornithorhynchidae.
GUGGUCUGGAAAGAUGAUCCGGUCACAGCUGGGUGGAGUUUGGGCUGAAGUGGUGCGAGGCUGGGGCCCGGAGGCCAGAGAGGAGGCUGCCGACGCAGUAAGUAGUUCACGUGUGAGGAGACGAGAGCUUCGACCGGGGUCCGACCCGUUUGGGUGAAGAGGAAGGGGGGCGUCUGGGACGGGUAGCAGUGGACUCGUUGUGAACACCGGAAGACGGCUCUGGGGCUAAGGGAGAACGGUAGUGUCACGGACGGAACUGGGAAAGGCAGGAAGGAGGAGAGGAAGAGGAAGGCAGGGACAAAAGCAUCCCUUUAGCCGUCGGUUAAAGUCGCAAAACAGUGAUGCUGCGCAUUCCAUCCGUCUGGAAUAUUUAGUCGCUGAGUACCUAGUCGACCCCCCCGGCCUUCCGUCCCCCGGAGGGCUGCCUGGUCGAGUUCUUAUUCUGGCACCUCCGUGGAGACAGGCUGGGGGGCCUCUGGGGUUCCGGGAAACCUGACGCUUAGUAACGUUGGCUUCGACCGGGCACUUGCUACGGGUGCUAACGGCCGGGGUCGAGGCAAGGGAAUCGGAUCGGCCGCGGUCCCUGUCCGGCCCGGGACUCACCGAGGGAGGGGUGGCGGGGAUCUCGUCCCCGUUUUCCAGAUGUGGAAACUGAGGUCCAGGGAGGCUAAGCGGCUUGGCCGAGGCCACCCGGAAAGCAGAGGUGGAACUGAGGUAGCCGCAAGCCGUUUCCCACCCGAGGGUCGGGGUCCCGCACCCCGGCCACGUUUGGUUGGUCUCGCCACGUCCACCCCCGGCCCGGGCCCCGACAGAUCGGGACGGCGGAUCCGCGGGAAGCCGGCUCCCGCCCCGCUCCGGUCCUCCCCUCCCCAUUUUUCCUCCCCGCACCCCAGUUUAACCCCCGCCGAGACACCAAGUGGAUGUCCCAACCUCACGGAACAGCCUGAGCCCCGGCGGUCCCGCAGGGACGUGCGGGAAGGGAAGGCCGGAGUCUUGUUUUGGUAUGUUUUUGGAAGGAAGUGACCGUAGCUAAGCCCUUUCUGGAGGGCCGUGAUCCCUCAUCCGUUCCAAGGAGCCAGCGUCGCUUCCUCCUCACGGCCAACGCUUUCCUUCAAACCUCCCUCUCUUCAGCUGCCUCCUGCCCCCGCCCCUCUUCUCACGUGUCUCGACAGAGAUCCCAAGGUCCGGGAGUAAUGAUCUCGGCUUCGGGAUGGGCGAGCCCCGGUGGCCCCGGUGGAUUGCGGCGAGGCGGAGGCCCCGGAGGACUGCGGGAAAUUCACGGCUUCGGCGGAUCGCGGGAAAGCGAAACCUUUGGAGGAUCGUGGAGAAAUGUCGACUCUACGUUGAACUGUGGGAAAAUGGCGGUCCUAGAGGACAGAGAGAGAGCGAGGGCUCUGAGCUGGUGAGAUCCUCCCUCCGUUGGAUUCCAAGCCAUCGAGUCUCUCCCUCGCCAACGAUGGCACCGUCCCGCCAAGUCCUGGCUUCAGGCCCUCGGGCCCCACCGACUCCCGGGCACUCCCGGGGGAGACCGGGAAGACAUCGCGGCCCGGCGGGAGUCAGGAGACCCGCCUUCUUCCACCUGUGUGACCUGAGCCGGUCACCGAACCUCUCUGGGCCUCGGCUUUCUGUUCUCUAAAGUGGGGAGAAUAAUCGCUCUCAGGGACGUCACGCCCAGAAAAGGAGCCCCGGGCUGUGAAUUUGCGUCGGGAGCUGGAAGGCUGGUGCUGUUGCUGGCGAUGGCGGGUUUGCUCUUGCUCUUCUACUGUCCUGUCCUCUUUUUCCUAGUCAAUUGUAUUUAUUGAGCGCUUACUAUGUGCAGAACUCUGUUCUAAGCGCCUGGGAGAUAACAAUAUAAUAGCGUAACUGACACAUUCCCUGCCCACGACGAGCUUCCAAUCUAGAGGUUAGCUUAUAUCCACCCCAGCGCUUAGGACAGGACCUGGCCCCAAGUAAGCACUUAACAGGUACAAUUUAAAAAAUAAAAACACAAGUUCCGCUGCGGAUUUUACGAACUGUA